This 256-nucleotide ribosomal RNA is filed under the name uncultured bacterium. RNAcentral's name for it is "partial 16S ribosomal RNA". It matches the Rfam family "Bacterial small subunit ribosomal RNA", at positions 793 to 1055 of the family's 1533-position model. The record is from RNAcentral.
GUCCAUGCCGUAACGAUGUCUACUAGCCGUUGGGCCUUUGAGGCUUAGUGGCGCAGCUAACGCGAUAAGUAGACCGCCUGGGAGUACGGUCGCAAGACUAAACUCAAAUGAAUUGACGGGCCCGCACAAGCGGUGGAGCAUGUGGUUUAAUUCGAAGCAACGCGAAGAACCUUACCAGGCCUUGACAUCCUAUGAACUUUCCAGAGAUGGAUUGGUGCCUUCGGGAGCAUAGAGACAGGUGCUGCAUGGCUGUCGU